AAGUCGUAACAAGGUUUCCGUAGGUGAACCUGCGGAAGGAUCAGUAGAGAACACCCGGCGCAAGCCGGUUCUACCCACACACACCUGUGAACCGUAUCGGCGAGGGAUUAGCGAAAGCGAAACCGAGCCAGCUUUACAAACUUUUUAUGAUGUCACGAACGUAGUCUUAUUAUAACAAUAAAACUUUCAACAACGGAUCUCUUGGCUCCC
Molecule: unclassified non-coding RNA, 210 nt
Filed under: air metagenome
Description: partial contains small subunit ribosomal RNA, internal transcribed spacer 1, and 5.8S ribosomal RNA
Rfam family: Eukaryotic small subunit ribosomal RNA (bases 1-46)
Source: RNAcentral